Molecule: ribosomal RNA, 470 nt
Filed under: Epicoccum nigrum
Lineage: Eukaryota; Fungi; Ascomycota; Dothideomycetes; Pleosporales; Didymellaceae
Description: eukaryotic LSU rRNA
Rfam family: Eukaryotic large subunit ribosomal RNA
Source: RNAcentral
CUUGACCUCGGAUCAGGUAGGGAUACCCGCUGAACUUAAGCAUAUCAAUAAGCGGAGGAAAAGAAACCAACAGGGAUUGCCCUAGUAACGGCGAGUGAAGCGGCAACAGCUCAAAUUUGAAAUCUGGCGUCUUUGGCGUCCGAGUUGUAAUUUGCAGAGGGCGCUUUGGCAUUGGCAGCGGUCCAAGUUCCUUGGAACAGGACGUCACAGAGGGUGAGAAUCCCGUACGUGGUCGCUAGCCUUUACCGUGUAAAGCCCCUUCGACGAGUCGAGUUGUUUGGGAAUGCAGCUCUAAAUGGGAGGUAAAUUUCUUCUAAAGCUAAAUACUGGCCAGAGACCGAUAGCGCACAAGUAGAGUGAUCGAAAGAUGAAAAGCACUUUGGAAAGAGAGUUAAAAAGCACGUGAAAUUGUUGAAANGGAAGCGCUUGCAGCCAGACUUGCUGUAGUUGCUCAUCCGGGGUUCUACCCG